UUGGAGGGCAAGUCUGGUGCCAGCAGCCGCGGUAAUUCCAGCUCCAAUAGCGUAUAUUAAAGUUGUUGCAGUUAAAAAGCUCGUAGUUGAAUUUCGGGAUCAAUAUUUCGGUCAUGCCGUUGGUAUGCACUGUUAUCAUUGAUUUCUCACCUUCUAAAGAACCGUAAUGCCAUUAAUUUGGUGUUACGGGGAAUUAGGACUGUUACCUUGAAAAAAUUAGAGUGUUUAAAGCAGGCUCACGCUUGAAUACAUUAGCAUGGAAUAAUGAAAUAGGACAUCCGAUUCUAUUUUGUUGGUUUCUAGGAUCGAUGUAAUGAUUAAUAGGGAUAGUUGGGGGCAUUAGUAUUCAAUUGUCAGAGGUGAAAUUCUUGGAUUUAUUGAAGACUAACUACUGCGAAAGCAUUUGCCAAGGAUGUUUUCAUUAAUCAAGAACGAAAGUUAGGGGAUCGAAGACGAUCAGAUACCGUCGUAGUCUUAACCAUAAACUAUGCCGACUAGGGAUCGGAUGAUGUUAAUUUUUUAAUGACUCAUUCGGCGCCCUACGGGAAAC
Molecule: ribosomal RNA, 550 nt
Filed under: Funneliformis mosseae
Lineage: Eukaryota; Fungi; Glomeromycota; Glomeromycetes; Glomerales; Glomeraceae
Description: SSU rRNA
Rfam family: Eukaryotic small subunit ribosomal RNA
Source: RNAcentral